UUGGUAUAAAUAGAGGGGUGAAAUUCAAGCUCCAUUAUUUUCAGUAUUUAUUUUGGUGUAAGUCAAAAAUAUAGUGUAACCUAAGUUGCGUUAGAUCUUCACCUACUCUUCGAUUUUUUUCUCUAAAGUGCCGAACUCCGCUUCUACCACAUUCAACGUUCUCUAAAAAAUUUAUUAAAUAGUAAAACCUAAACUCCAAUUUUUUUUUUUAUUAUAAUGGGUUAGAAUUACCUUAUUUAUAAUAAAUUAUUAUUACCUUUAAAUAAUAAUAAAAAUUUUAAUUAUUUAAUAGGUUAAAUUUUAUAGCGGUUAGUUUACCACUAUAUUGAGGAGAUAACGGGUUCCAUUUAUUUAAAUCAAAACAAACAAUGAAACUCAAAAAACUAAUUUCACCAGCACCAAAUUACACCAAAACAAACAGAAAAAAUAAUUGAAUUUAAUUUUCAGAUUGUACGAGUUACAUAAAAAUAAACAACAAAAAAAUAAUCACACUUCAAGAAAAUUCAAAUACCACUGUACUUGAGUUACGUUGAAUUUACAAAUUCGUCAAUUCAAACGCUACUGCACUUGAGUUGCAUGUAGAAAUUAACGAUAUGAUUGACAAUUCAAAAUA
Molecule: long non-coding RNA, 613 nt
Filed under: Ananas comosus (pineapple)
Lineage: Eukaryota; Viridiplantae; Streptophyta; Magnoliopsida; Poales; Bromeliaceae
Description: long non-coding RNA (ACOM_LNC006144)
Source: RNAcentral